UCAUGUUUACUUCUGCAUGAAGAACAGUCCACCCAAUGAAGAAGAAUUUCAGGGUACACUGUUGAAUGAAGUUGACCAUUACCAGGGUAAUCAUGUCAGAUGCCAUGCAGAGUCACAGUGCAAGCAGAAUGGCUAUGUGAUGAGCAAAAGACUGUUAACUAAACCUGAAGCAGUAGCUGCAUACAGGAAAGUCAUUAUGAGCACUUCAAUUAUAGGCAUGCAUCAGACUAAAUGCAGUGCAGGGAAACAUAUUGGAUCGAGUCUCUCCAUUCAGUGAUGCUCAUUUAUGCUGCAAAGCAGAUUCAUUAUGGAGAUGACUCAUACAACAUGCGCAUGGGGUUAGCCGUUCUUGAUUGG
Pocillopora verrucosa is the source of this 357-nucleotide non-coding RNA. Lineage: Eukaryota; Metazoa; Cnidaria; Anthozoa; Scleractinia; Pocilloporidae. The record is from RefSeq and is a predicted model, not a curated record.